Molecule: ribosomal RNA, 915 nt
Filed under: uncultured archaeon
Lineage: Archaea
Description: bacterial SSU rRNA
Rfam family: Archaeal small subunit ribosomal RNA
Source: RNAcentral
UUCCGGUUGAUCCUGCCUGACCUGACUGCUAUCGGGAUUGAUACUAAGCCAUGCGAGUCAUUGUAGCAAUACAAGGCAGACGGCUCAGUAACGCGUAGUCAACCUACCCUAUGGACGGGAAUAACCUCGGGAAACUGAGUAUAAUGCCCGAUAGAACACUAUACCUGGAAUGGUUUGUGUUCCAAAUGAUUUAUCGCCGUAGGAUGGGACUGCGGCCUAUCAGUUUGUUGGUGAGGUAAUGGCCCACCAAGACUAUUACAGGUACGGGCUCUGAGAGGAGUGGCCCGGAGAUGGGUACUGAGACACGGACCCAGGCCCUAUGGGGCGCAGCAGGCGAGAAAACUUUGCAAUGUGCGAAAGCACGACAAGGUUAAUCCGAGUGGUUUGUGCUAAACGAACCUUUUGUCAGUCCUAGAAACACUAACGAAUAAGGGGUGGGCAAGUUCUGGUGUCGGCCGCCGCGGUAAAACCAGCACCUCAAGUGGUCAGGAUGAUUAUUGGGCCUAAAGCAUCCGUAGCCGGCUCUGUAAGUUUUCGGUUAAAUCUGUACGCUUAACGUACAGGCUGCCGGGAAUACUGCAGAGCUAGGGAGUGGGAGAGGUAGACGGUACUCGGUAGGAAGGGGUAAAAUCCUUUGAUCUAUUGAUGACCACCUGUGGCGAAGGCGGUCUACCAGAACACGUCCGACGGUGAGGGAUGAAAGCUGGGGGAGCAAACCGGAUUAGAUACCCGGGUAGUCCCAGCUGUAAACUAUGCAAACUCAGUGAUGCAUUGGCUUGUGGCCAAUGCAGUGCUGCAGGGAAGCCGUUAAGUUUGCCGCCUGGGAAGUACGUACGCAAGUAUGAAACUUAAAGGAAUUGGCGGGGGAGCACCACAAGGGGUGAAGCCUGCGGUUCAAUUGGAGUCAACGCCGGG